GUUAAUUACAUCUUUUCAUUUUCUAUUUGUAGAUAAUUGAAGUUAGUGAAGGUGAAAUGUCACCUACCAACCGAAACAACCAAUCAACUCCUACAAAAGAACCUGGCCAAGAACCAUGUAUUACACCCCGCAGGACACCGAGAAAAUAUAAACUAAAAUCACCUGAUGCAAGUGAAUCCUCGAGUGGCCCAAUGCAAUAGACAGAUGAAAUGGAUGACUGUCUGAUUAAUAUGUUGAUGGAUGUGGUUGCAAAUGGCUGCAAGAGUGCGAAUGGUUUUAAGGAGACGUAUAAAACAGUCAUAGAGAGCGUCAGGAGUGCAAUAGGAAUAUCAGUGCAAGAGAAACAUAUUGGGAAUCGCCUCCGCACUAUGAAAAGGUUGUAUUUCGAGGUUCGAGAUACCCUAAACGCUGUGGAUUUGGUCGUGACGAUGACUUGAAGGUAGUAACCUCUCUGGACGAUGUUUGGGAGGAUUACAUAUGGUCACAUCCAUAUGCACAACAUGUACGCGGGAAAACAGUGCGAAGGUACGACGACCUAACAUACAUAUUUGGUAAUGACCGAGUGACUGGAUUGCGUGCUUCCACAGGAAACAUGCGUAACACUCCGCCUUCGAGAAGGCCCAGGGAUCUUGAUACUUCACCCACACCAUCGGUUGAUCUAAAUGACGAUACUCUUGUGUUAUCCAGUGAUGAGGUAGGGGACAGUACGCAUAACAUCCACUGGUCAUAUGAAAGCCGUGAUGGUAAUCACAUUCCACGCCGAAGUCCGUCUGUGAAUGGGAACAACUCCAUCAACAUAGGAAGCACAACUAGUUCAAGGAAGUAAGCUAGGAUGAAUCGCCCUUGUGAUAUCAUUGACAAAAGAAUGAGUGAAGUUGUUGAUGCCAUCAAAUCACUGGCCCUUACCAUACAGUAAGGGAAGGACAUGGUACGUAUGUCGCAGGUGGUACCAGCUCUGGAGCAGAUUGAGGGUCUUACAGGUCAUGAGAUCGUACGUGUUACAAAGAUACUAUCGAAAGACGAACAACAGUCUGCUUCAUUCCUUUCUCUCCCUGAGCAUAAAGGUUGGAGUUUGUGUUGAUGCUACUUGCUCCAGAUCAGUCGUCCGACUGAGCAUAGUCCCUUGAAGUUGAUCAUCAUGGUUGUUAUUUUGAUUGGUUGGACAGCCAAUCAUUUUUUGGACUUAACUUUUUCUGGUUACACAUGCUAGUUGUGUUCACUAAUUAGAUGACUGGGUUAAUUUGGAUGAUAUUUUUUUGUGGCUUUUUUUUGGAUUGUGAUCUGUAUUUAAUGAUAUCUCCAUCGAUGCCUGUUAACCUGCAUUACCUGUUUAAAUGUGCUGCUAACUUUAUAUUAA
Magnolia sinica is the source of this 1357-nucleotide long non-coding RNA. RefSeq lists it as uncharacterized. The record is from RefSeq and is a predicted model, not a curated record. The transcript is spliced from 2 exons. NCBI's taxonomy places the organism in Eukaryota, Viridiplantae, Streptophyta, Magnoliopsida, Magnoliales, Magnoliaceae.